Molecule: long non-coding RNA, 4191 nt
Filed under: Triticum aestivum (bread wheat)
Lineage: Eukaryota; Viridiplantae; Streptophyta; Magnoliopsida; Poales; Poaceae
Description: long non-coding RNA (TAES_LNC005224)
Source: RNAcentral
GCCCGUUUACUGUUUGGAUGGUCCUUGCUUUGGGAAGCUGGUACUUUCAUGCAGUCUCUUACUGCUUGGACCAUGGUCCUUGGUGUGAUUGUAAGGUUGUAUCACAUUUUUGGAUAUGGUUUUGUUCCCUUUGUUUCUUUUUAGUUGUUGAUAUAUAGCUUUUCUGUGCAUAUUGGUAUUUUUUAUCAAUACUCUUUUCUGUUGUAGUAUGUUGUACUGGUGUGUGUGCCUUAAACCUUUUUGUAAUGAAAACAUUGUCUGGCUUGUUGUUCCUUAAUUGCUGUAGGCGAAUAAUAAAUGUUUGAGAUUUACAUGUUUAAGUAACCGACUUUGUUGAUUGACCAUUUCAGAGUAAAGGAAAAUGCCUUCACUUCAGAAAGCUUUACCUCCAGAACUUGCCGACAAUGCGCUUAGAGUAAGGAUCCUAUCACACCUUUCUAAUAGACAAAUUACCCCCAUCAUGACCUGUACAUGGUGAUGGUAAUGAGUAGUAAGUUCUGAAAUUUCAUUUCUGUAGUCAGGGUAGCUCUAUCAGUUAAGUCUACCCUUUUAGCUUCAGCUUUUGCAAAUCAUGUCUAGUACUCUCGUGCACCUAGUUCUUCAUCAUCAUCAAAAUUGGUCACACAAAAUAAUAAAUAGAUGAUGGCAUUUGAGGAGAAAAUGUUAUCAGUACUUAUAAGCUCUUUUUGUUAUGCUGUAGUUAUACCGCGAAUGCUUAAGGAGGGCUAAGUUCAUCGGUAGUCAGGUAAGCAUACUUUCGUUUGAACUAUCUUAUUAUCUUGAAGUACAUAAUAUUUCUUAGCACACACUCAGCUUGCUCUGUUCUCCUCAAGUAUCUUUAACCCGAGAGUGUUCCAGGAGAAACAGUCUGGUCGCUCCAUCAUCAGUUCAUGUGUCACUUAAGCAUCUGUACAUAGAUUUUGAAUUACUUCACCUUGUUUUUUUUUCAAUGAAAACUGCUCCAAAGAAUCAACGUUCUUUGGCAGCAUAACAUGUAUAAGAGGGCUUAUUAUUUUCAGGCCCUUUAUACUGAUGUUCGUAAAAUACGUUGCACCUGGAAUAUGCAAAUUGUGUUUUUUCAUUUACAAGAUGGAGAACCAGAUCUACAGUAGAAUAAAAGGCCAUCACAAAUUAGAACUAAUAAGUCCUAUUUACCUUUGAGUUAUGGCAUAUUUGUGUAACUUUAUGAAGGUGCAUGUUUGACUGAGUUGUAUUUUAUGACCCAGCAACAUAACACAGGGCUUCUUGUUUCCAUGGUGAGGCAACAGUUCAAGAAAAACAUGCAUGAAACUGAUCCAGAGAAGAUACAGAAAAUGAAGGAUGAGUAAGUUACUGCUCCGUGGGCACCUUCAAUUUUUGGCUGACUUACCUUUUUAUUCUCGUUGGAACAUACAUCAUGAAAUUAUAUCUUGCUAUGCAGUGCGGCACGGGGCCUUAUCAAUCACAUAAUAUAUGAAUCCGAGAAGAUGACAGGACGUAAAUUCUCAGGUUAAGAAAGUUGAAAGUAGACUUUUGGCAAUAUGCUGUACGAGUUGAACAGCGACUUGAUCCUAUGGCUGUUGAAUUAUUUUUCUCCUCCGACACAAGGACCAUCUAAUGCUUUUCUUUGUUGUUGACUUAAUAAAGCAGUGUUUUUUCAUCAGUUGCAUUUUACUGUGCUUCUGGAUGUAAUUGACCCACGCAUGCCAAGCGUUAGCUGUUUUGUUAAGGUGUAAAUCUUCAGCAAUUUUAAGUGCUCCAAUCUGUGUUUAAACGGCUGCGUUGCUUGAAUUUUCUUCUUCUCGUGAUGUAUUGAGGCAGUUUCAACAUGUUCACUGGUUCCAUUUCCAUGGAGCUGAAUCGGUCACAAGUUUGCAAAACCGGAAAUAUUCCUUGCAGUCUUUUUUCUCUGUUUUUUUAGACGAUUAAAUCACUUGAAGUUUCCAAGGCUUGUUGUGGAUCUCACUGGAUUGUCAGCAGUAUUAAACAGUCUGCACAACUAAAGAGCUCAUGGCUAUGAAAUGCCAGAUUAGAACACCAAAGAUUGCCGUUGCCUUCAGUUUAUUCUCUCGUGAAACUGUUUUUAGGUGAGCCUGAAGAGUGCACUCUUACCAAGUUCUACUGAUACCAUCGGUCUUUCUCAGUAAAAAGCAAGAGAAUCACUCUUACCAAGAGGCUUGACUUACUGGAGUAACAGAAUGCAUCCCAAUUAUUCAUGGUCACAUCUGUAGAUCCUGGAUGAUGCAUCUGCCCCUCUGCACCUAACAUGCAUGGAUAUGAUAUCUCAGCUUUCAGCUGAAGCAGCUACCACUCUAUGGGUUGUAUUUUGUCACAUUGCUCUCUGGAAUCCGGAAAAGCGCGACAAAACGGAUGGCGUUGCGUCAAAGAGAUGAGAGGGGUGUAGGAAAGGAACUGAUGAGGAUGAUGAGUUCAGUGAUCUGGGGCCAGUUCUGGAAUUCCCUGCACUGCAGGGUGUGAAACACUACUUACUGUCUGCAGGUCAAAUGAUGGGGAAGCAAACACCCAUGCCUGACAAAAGAUUGUCAUCCAGACAUCACCAAUGGGCCUCAAGGAUGGAUAUCCAUCAGCCUUCUUCUUCCGCCAUGCCGACGAACUCCAGCCGCUCCUUUCCGGCACAGGUUCAUCACCCGUAAGGUCCAUCUGAUCACUAGCCCUAGCUCACGGAUUGUCGCGGGAAUCAUCGGUUGAGAAAAGGGCGACGGCGACCAUGAUUGUCGACAAUUGGGGGGCGUCGUCUAGCCCAGCGCAAUGACAAGGCAGCAGCAGCUCCUAUGAGCCUAUGACCUGGACUGCAUACAGAUGAACUCACUGGUGGGCGGUGGCUAUGGUGUUUCAGUAGGUCAAUGCUCCAUGACCAGUGCAAUGCAAUGUCUUCUAAAGUUGGAAUCAUGGCUGCUGUUGAAAGAGGAGUGCCAGCCCAGUAGCUUUCUGCCUACUGCAGCAAAUAUGAUCUUGGCAUCUUUCCCUCUAUAGCAAAUAUGGACAAGUACAGUUAAGGCACUGUUGAGCAGCUGUACUCGGUAGUUGGCUUGGCAACAGCACUACCACACCAGAGAUCAUACCUUCCUACCAUGUUCUGGUGCCUGUACCAGCAAGUUACUGGUGAAAUCAGCAUGGUCUGCUCUACCAAUAGGCUCAGAUUGUCAGACAACUGGUAUCUCCCUGUGCAAUCUUCUUUCUGUCCAACUCAGUCAUGCCUCAGCUUAUCUUGUUUUCCGCAUGCGUGUCGACGCAAAGGGUAUUGGCUAGGCUAUAAAUAUUGCACUAUUGCCUCAACUCUCAACUUUCAGUUCAUUGAAUUUGACGCGAUUUGCGUUUCAAACGAGACACUUCGGAAGAAAUUUGCAUUCUAAAGUAAGCUGGUAUUCAGCACCCAUUUGAAGCAUGGGACUCGAGGCAUCGUCGUGGCAAUUCAAGUAAACAUGUCCAUCCAUCAACUGGAUCUCAUUCAAUAGCUUGAUCUGUUAGAUCAGAAAUAUUUCUUGUUAAAGACUUGAGCCUGUCAUUGUAAACCAUUUUAACCAACAACAAAAUGUGCAGUACUCAGAAGGGAAUAGGCCCAGUUAAGUAUCAUAUUCAACUGGUAACAGUACACGCUCAACUUAAGCUCAAGAAAGGUGCAAGCAGAAAUGAUGCUCAUCACUCACCAAUUUGGUGCAAAAAUCAAAGAAUAAUAUGAACAGUUUGCAGUAAUAUAGAAAAGUGAGACUGAAAAAAGUUUCAAAGUUGAUGCUAUAAUAGUCUUCUACUCAUUCAGAGAUUACACAUACGGUGCUCCCUUAGAUCAGGAGGCUACAGAUAGAUACACAUUAGCCUAUUUUCAUACUUCAUCAGUAGGCAUCAUAUAGGGGCCUCAUACUUCAUCACUGGCCAUCAUAUAGUGGCAUCAUACCGUGCAUAAGUAGACAUCUCAUACUAGCACUGAUGCUUAAAUUAUCGAUAUAAUUUACUUCCAGUAGCUAUGAGCGAUGCAGCAUUAUUGCUUCACUUUGGUGUUGAGCCUUCACCCAGCUUGGAUGGCCGGGCCUCACCCAUCCGUGGACUGUCUCGCCCCCCUAGAGGGCUGCGUUCAUGCCUCAGCUCGUUGACGCGAGGGCUGUAGGCCUUCUCAGACAUACAAGGGCUGCGGAUGCCUUUCAGUUCCGUGACAGGAGUGCCACCUGAACUGGUGAUCUUCGGACUAUUCAGGCG